GAUGAACGCUGGCGGCGUGCCUAAUAUAUGCAAGUCGAGCGAACGGACGAGAAGCUUGCUUCUCUGAUGUUAGCGGCGGACGGGUGAGUAACACGUGGAUAACCUCCCUAUAAGACUGGGAUAACUUCGGGAAACCGGAGCUAAUACCGGAUAAUAUUUUGAACCGCAUGGUUCAAAAGUGAAAGACGGUCUUGCUGUCACUUAUAGAUGGAUCCGCGCUGCAUUAGCUAGUUGGUAAGGUAACGGCUUACCAAGGCAACGAUGCAUAGCCGACCUGAGAGGGUGAUCGGCCACACUGGAACUGAGACACGGUCCAGACUCCUACGGGAGGCAGCAGUAGGGAGUCUUCCGCGAUGGGCGAAAGCCUGACGGAGCAACGCCGCGUGGGUGAUGAAGGUCUUCGGAUCGUAAAACUCUGUUAUUAGGGAAGAACAUAUGUGUAAGUAACUGUGCACAUCUUGACGGUACCUAAUCAGAAAGCCACGGCUAACUACGUG
Molecule: ribosomal RNA, 497 nt
Filed under: uncultured bacterium
Lineage: Bacteria
Description: partial 16S ribosomal RNA
Rfam family: Bacterial small subunit ribosomal RNA
Source: RNAcentral